RNAcentral lists this ribosomal RNA (477 nucleotides) under uncultured bacterium. RNAcentral describes it as "partial 16S ribosomal RNA". It matches the Rfam family "Bacterial small subunit ribosomal RNA", at positions 28 to 506 of the family's 1533-position model. The record is from RNAcentral.
GACGAGCGCUGGCGGCGUGCUUAACACAUGCAAGUCGAACGUGAUUUUUGUGGAAAUUCUUUCGGGAAUGGAAAUGAAAUGAAAGUGGCGAACGGGUGAGUAACACGUGAGCAACCUACCUUACACAGGGGGAUAGCCGUUGGAAACGACGAUUAAUACCGCAUGAGACCACAGAAUCGCAUGAUAUAGGGGUCAAAGAUUUAUCGGUGUAAGAAGGGCUCGCGUCUGAUUAGCUAGUUGGAAGGGUAAAGGCCUACCAAGGCGACGAUCAGUAGCCGGUUGGAGAGGAGGAAGGGAAAAAUUGGAACGGGGACACGGUCCAAACCCCUAGGGGGGGCAGCAGGGGGGAAAAUUGAAAAAGGGGGGGAACCCUGAUGCAGGGACGCCGGGGGAGGAAAGAAGGUUUUGGAAUCGAAAAGCUCUGUCCUAUGAAAAGAAAAGGACGGUAACAAAGGAGGAAGCCCCGGCUAAAUACGG